AAAAAAAAAAAAUUUUGUCUCGGGAAAUGGGGAAAAAUAAAACAUUUUAUGAAAUGAUACCGUGCAUGAUUUAAUUAAAAAUUACGGUGUGUGAAGCAUUGGAUCAGUAGGGAAACCCAAAAUUAUUAUCUUAGCGGACUCAGCGCCACUAUGCGGCAUCUCACGCGCAUCGCUACCUACCGUCCUCUCAGCCUUAUGGCCCCCUUCGUGGUCUUCCACUUCGUUGUCUAUGGAUAUACCAAUAGGGUUUCCCUAUUGAAAUACUGAUACAGGCCUGUUUUCAGAUAGUGUAUCAGCAAGAAUAUUAUACUGAAAUUCGCAAUUGUAAUGGAUUCGAAGAGGAUAUUGAUGGAGUUUUGGUAUCAAAAAGUAUAAGUACAUGUUCGUUGGAAGGGCAACCAAAGAGUUCCGGAUCCUUUUGCUAUCACACAAUAUUAUGUGCGUGUAAAACUAAAGGCUAAAAGAAGAAGAAGAAGAAUGAUUCAAAAAUUCUGGGAGAGAAUCAUCAAAGAAUUAUACUUGUUUAGAACUUUUUUGGUCGAGACGUUAUGGGUGUCUUAAAGGCACUGAAGGUUGCGUUAGAUGUCAUAAUCCACUACAAAAAGGAAACGCUGAAAAUCCCAGGUGGUGAUGGGAAUUAGUGGCAAUGUUACGGUGUAGAUAAAUUCAGAAAGUGUGACGCUAGCUGAUGUAAACCGCGCCAGCUGUGCUAUUACCGAGUCUUUCUCACUUUUGCCGCCUAGCAGGAAAAGGUUGUGAGAGUAGCAGAAGAAGAGAAAAUUGCAGUAAACCCGGUUUUGAAAGAAGCCAAACAUUCCGAUUGUAUGGGAGCCCAGCCUGUGGAAACAAAAACCCUAUGUUUCAGAUAGAAAGACAAAAGGAACACAUCGUUCCUCAGCCACUUCUGAGGACCACUGUCACCGAAAGAAAAUCACCUCGCUUAUAGACUCGGAAGGUGAAAGCGAGACCCAAAAGUUUUCCACAACGCAGCAAGUCCUCCACCGUUACAGACCACAAUGUGUAAAUGCGUCACAUCCGGGAAAUUAAUACUGCAGUAAUCAGAGCGAUAAAAAAAUUGGCACCAAUUCGUAUAUACCAGAUUAUGCCGCAACGCAUUCAAGAAUGGAGCUUAACACCUUGCAGGGCUGAAGAAAAUGAUAGAAAAGAAUUAGAACAAAUUUGUUGGCCGUAAAACAAACCGCGGGAGGCUCAGGAAGAGCUAGAUCUUAAACAAAAGGUUUUACUUUGUCUUGAAGUUUAUUCAUUUUUACGUUUUUUACUUAUGAAGAUGUGUUACUUGUUCUAGUGCUCUAAAGGAACUAGAUAACCAUAGCAAAGGCUUAUAAAUUUAGGGUUGACAUAAACUUUCGUGACGAAGCAGUUAAAGUAGGCGAAAGCGAAUCGACAAUUGAGUGCGCUACUGUCCCGUGCGUCACUCGCGGCAUCAGCAUUGCGGCAAGUAAGGCAUCCGACACAUGAAGGGAUGUUUCAACAAAUAAAACAAACGGGGUUCGGUCCAAUCUUUUAAACCAAAAUAGUGUGCAGUAAUAAGUUACACGGCGGUUACAAUCCCAGUAACCAAAUAUACUGGAGGCAAUUUCAAGUCCGGUGCAUUGCAAAAAUCCUAAUAAGGGAAUCAUACGAAUUAGUUUCUCGAAGUACAAGAUGACAUCCAUUGUUGUCCAUUUGUCAGAAAACUGAUGUAGAUUAGCGGUAUCCUGUAGUACGAGAAGUUUACCGAUAAGGAUCCUGUGUAGAUAAGAUGAUAGUCACCACCGACUCCGUUUUUAACGAUAUUCCUCUCAAUAGACAGUGUUAGCUGUAAUAGGGAUUCUACACAGGUUUGUGGUGGUUCAGAAACGUUUACCACGUUUUGCAACUAGACGUCAUAUGAAUGGUGCAGUUCCUAUCUGCAGCCCUGCAGUGUGCAAAAAUAAAUGGUGGAGAAAAUCUGCUCAUUAUGCUGAUCAGCACAAUGCCAGCUUCAUUAAGCAUUCUUGAAAUGACCUAUGAACAGACUACACAGUAUUAAAAGACUCUUCCCUUAAGGAGAUUUGUAGCAGUGGACUUUCUUUAGAAGACUUGUAUCAAAUAUUUGCCUGCUUCUUGGAACAAGGAACUUAGGAGGUCUUGAUGACAACCAAGUAUCCUUGGAAAGAUUGUAAAAAAGAUGUUUAAGCAGGAAAUACCUAAAGUUGGAGGACGGUACAUUUUUUUUUCCCGUUACUAGUUUUGUAAAACAAAUGGUAAAUUUGGUGAAAUGAAAACAACACAUGAUCUAUUACUUAAGAUCAAUUGUUUUCACAAGUGGAGAUUGAUUCCACAAUCUUCAGCUUCCAAGGCAGACAAUCCGCAAGGCAAUGGGAUAUACAUUUCCCCUAUAUUUUCGAGACAUCUAGUGGAGAAAUAACUAACUCCGUAGAACUUUUAUUGGUGUGUCAGCUGUCCCGUCAGCUGUUCCAUACUUCCAUUUCGCGUGGCUGCGGACUGAGGAUGGCUGCUGAAACGAACGUCAAUCUUCCUGAAAUUUUACCACCGAUUCCGUGUAUUUUGAGAUGCAUCUUGUGAAUUCAACCAAUGCAGAGUUGUUCAAGGAGGAACAUGGCUUGGCUAUGCUAGCAUGUUUUGUUUUUUGUUUUUUUUAAUCUCCGUUAGCCUGAUAUAUCCAUUUUGUUUCAAAGGUGAUACGUAAAAAGAAUAGUUCUUAACAAUCUUUUUCUCUAUCUAAAUCUCUUAGAUUCUUGGAGGUGUCUUAAGGUGAUGUUUGAAUUUAUUGUUAACAGUUUAAGUUUCGUAAAUCAUGCUUUCAGGUCUUUGGAAUGUACCUGAUGUACUGUGGUGGCCGCAAAAUCAUUCAAUGACUUGGUUCAAUCCAGGACUUUGUUUUCUUGGUAGUGGGUUACAGUUUUAAUUUGCAGAGAUUCUGGAGGCACCUGAUGUGUUUCAUUGGCAUUGGAGUCACUCGGUUACAGAAGAGAAUGCCACUACUGUUAUGUCGUCAGUGUAAAUAAAACAUAUCCAGUAUCA
Molecule: long non-coding RNA, 3027 nt
Organism: Daphnia magna
Lineage: Eukaryota; Metazoa; Arthropoda; Branchiopoda; Diplostraca; Daphniidae
Exons: 13
Source: RefSeq, a predicted model, not a curated record